RNAcentral lists this transfer RNA (71 nucleotides) under Loxodonta africana (African savanna elephant). It matches the Rfam family "tRNA". Rfam says of the family: Transfer RNA (tRNA) molecules are approximately 80 nucleotides in length. Lineage: Eukaryota; Metazoa; Chordata; Mammalia; Proboscidea; Elephantidae. The record is from Rfam by way of RNAcentral.
CCAUUGGUGGUUCAGUGGUAGAAUCCUCCCCUUCCAUGCAGGACACCUUGGUUUGAUUCCAGGCCAAUGCA